UUGUAGAGGUGACGACCGUCUUUGUAGUCAGAAAGCUGCUGUGUAUUCACUUGAUGUUGAAGCAAAUCCACCAGAAAGGAUAUUUAAAUUAAUUGACCAAGUCAAUCCCAGUAUUUUCUGCAUUCAUGCUACAAACUAUAAACAAGCACUCUCCUUCAGUUCCCCUGAAAUGCCUACUUCUGAAAAUUUUGAUCGAUUGCUUCAAGAGUUUGGAAGUACUACUUUCAGUGCUGAGCCUGACAGCUGGGAUAUGGAUGCAGAUGCUCAAAAUCCUCCUGAUGCAAAUGAAACAUAUAGAUACGAGUAUGGUGUUCCUAUACAGACAGUGGAUGCUUUUCUAAGGCUGCCUAGUCCUGUUGUCUCCUCUUGGUGCUCUGAUGUGAAUCCUGCAGCAUUUUUAGUAAACCAGGCUACAAAAUGCAUUAGAUCAGUAAGUGUGGAAAAAUGUGGCAGCAUUCAAGCUGUUAGCAUGCUGUUCUACAUCAACUCCAGCAUUUUAGCAGUA
This is a long non-coding RNA of Calidris pugnax (ruff), 505 nucleotides long. RefSeq lists it as uncharacterized. NCBI's taxonomy places the organism in Eukaryota, Metazoa, Chordata, Aves, Charadriiformes, Scolopacidae. The record is from RefSeq and is a predicted model, not a curated record. The transcript is spliced from 4 exons.